UUUAACGGCCGCGGUACCCUAACCGUGCGAAGGUAGCAUAAUCACUUGUUCUUUAAAUGAGGACUAGUAUCAACGGCAUCACGAGGAUCCUACUGUCUCCCCCCUCCAGUCAGUGAAACUGAUCUCUCCGUGAAGAAGCGGAGAUACGCAUAUAAGACGAGAAGACCCCAUGGAGCUUUAAACCCAACAACACCCGCCUCCCUUAAACCCUAUUAUCAGCCCGGCGAUUGUUUGCUUGGUUUUAGGUUGGGGUGACCACGGAGUACAAAACAUCCUCCAUGAAAAAAAGCUAACUGCCCUUAUUAGAGAAAGACAUUUCCAAAAAAUAACAAAUUAAUUUUUAAUGACCCGAUAUUCGAUCAACGAACCAAGUUACCCUGGGGAUAACAGCGCAAUCCGCCCCGAGAGCCCCUAUCGACAGGCGGGUUUACGACCUCGAUGUUGGAUCAGGGUAUCCUAGUGGUGCAGCAGCUACUAACGGUUCGUUUGUUCAACGAUUAAAACCCU
Molecule: ribosomal RNA, 507 nt
Filed under: Boophis roseipalmatus
Lineage: Eukaryota; Metazoa; Chordata; Amphibia; Anura; Mantellidae
Description: partial 16S ribosomal RNA
Rfam family: Bacterial large subunit ribosomal RNA
Source: RNAcentral